This 433-nucleotide ribosomal RNA is filed under the name uncultured bacterium. RNAcentral describes it as "partial 16S ribosomal RNA". It matches the Rfam family "Bacterial small subunit ribosomal RNA", at positions 29 to 507 of the family's 1533-position model. The record is from RNAcentral.
AAUGAACGCUGGCGGCAGGCCUAACACAUGCAAGUCGAGCGAGCAUUUCGGUGCUAGCGGCGGACGGGUGAGUAACGCGUGGGAACGUGCCCUUUUCUGCGGAAUAGUCCUGGGAAACUGGGGGUAAUACCGCAUACGCCCUUUUGGGGAAAGAUUUAUCGGAGAAGGACCGGCCCGCGUUGGAUUAGGUAGUUGGUGGGGUAAUGGCCCACCAAGCCGACGAUCCAUAGCUGGUUUGAGAGGAUGAUCAGCCACACUGGGACUGAGACACGGCCCAGACUCCUACGGGAGGCAGCAGUGGGGAAUCUUAGACAAUGGGGGCAACCCUGAUCUAGCCAUGCCGCGUGAGUGAUGAAGGCCUUAGGGUUGUAAAGCUCUUUCAGCUGGGAAGAUAAUGACGGUACCAGCAGAAGAAGCCCCGGCUAACUCCGUG